AUGGCGUCAUAAAUUGAUUUGAUUUUUAAUAUUUGUCUGGUAAACUGUGAUUGCAGUAAAUGGCACUAUUAAAUGGAUGCAUGAAAUUGAACCUGAGGUUAAAUUUAGCUAAUUUUUUCCUACUUAUUGCAGCUUUCAGCUCUGCUGUAUUAACGUUUCCAAUGUAUGGACUAUCAUAUACCUUAUAUUUGCUUCUGCUUGGCACUGUGUAAAUUUUGCAGCUCCACACUUUCUGGUCCAGGCUUAAAAGUGGACAAAAGUAGUGCUGGCUCAAAUUUAGCCUAUUACCUGAAGACACUUAAAAAUUCAACAUAGAAGCAAAUACUCACAUCUGCAAACCCAGUUGGAGAUAGAAAAAUAAGACACCAGCCAUGAGUGAGAAGAAGCAAGGUUCCAGAUUUAUUGGUUCCGUUCCACCACACGAGAUCCACACCGAUGAGAAUUGUCAGAAGUGAUCUGACACCUGGCGCUCAAGCUCCAGUAUUUAUACUGUAUUUACACAGUAAAUAACCAAUAUAUUUUAGAAAGACUGAUAUCAAUACCAAUAGGGUUAAAAAAGAGCUCAUCUACAUUACCAUGAUGUUUAAAAAGAGGCUUAUCAAAUUUACCAUGAUGCUUUGAAAGAGGCUUAUCAAAUUUACCAUGAUGUUUUGAAAGAGGACUUUCUGACUACCAUUAUGUUUUGAAAGAGGACUUUCUGACUACCAUUACGAUUGAAAGUGGGAGAGAGAGAAAACAAUUUAGAGAGACCUUGGUCUCACUGUUAUCUUGUGGGGGGGAGGGGGGGGGGGGGGACUUGACUCAGCUACCCUUCUAAAUGGCUCCUCAUGGUUCUCUCUUAAAAUUAAGGCCCCCGUCUACACCAUGCCUGACCCUUCCUCGCGAGACAAGAAUCUUCACCAUCUGAAUUAUGAGUGCCCGUCGUCAUUUUUCCUUCUUCUCUUUUCUUGGAGGGGCUGGAUUUGGAUCUGAACACUCACCAUCAGCUCGCGCAUAUCACUGCUGACAUCAUGGUGCUACUUGACGUUCUUCGCAGCACCCCCUCAGGAAAUGGAAAUGCGGGGUUCCCCCCCUCUCAGAUACAGAAUCCACCCCGUGAAUGUGUGUAUUGACGCCUCUACACAGACAGACCCUCUGCCUGACCCUCCCUCCAGCUUUCAGUCUGAGGAUGAUGUCACCUUCUCUGAUCUGGGCUCUGACCAGUCUUCCCUCUUCACACCUGUCAGUCCACCGUACUCUCAGUGUUCUCCUUAUUUCACCCUUGCUGGCUAUCCCAUGUCCCCAGGACGCACCCCAUUUUCUUCCCCCUACCGCUCUCCUCAGGAUUACGCACCCACCAGUCCUGUGAAUUUUCAAUAAAAUUACAUAUUACUCAUA
Long non-coding RNA from Ictalurus punctatus (channel catfish), 1377 nucleotides. RefSeq lists it as uncharacterized. The record is from RefSeq and is a predicted model, not a curated record. NCBI's taxonomy places the organism in Eukaryota, Metazoa, Chordata, Actinopteri, Siluriformes, Ictaluridae. The transcript is spliced from 2 exons.